Acinonyx jubatus (cheetah) is the source of this 8221-nucleotide long non-coding RNA. RefSeq lists it as uncharacterized. Lineage: Eukaryota; Metazoa; Chordata; Mammalia; Carnivora; Felidae. The transcript is spliced from 6 exons. The record is from RefSeq and is a predicted model, not a curated record.
ACUCUGUGCUUGCUAAUCUUCCUUCACGUAUGAUUUUAUCCUCUUAAUGAUAACAAUGUUAUAUUCUUAAUAUAUUAUUUCUAUUUCCUACAGGAGAGGUCUUCUUUGCAAAAAUAUUGUGCUUAAAACAUGCUCGUUAACGAUCUUGGGGAUGUAAGAUUUUGGAGUUGGAAUGAAUGCGAGACAUCAUCUGUUUCAGCAGCUCUGGAGAGAGAUCGCUAUCUGAAUCAAUGGCUCCAAUGAGUUGUGCUUAGCUGGAGUCCAGAUUAUCCUCAGUAUCCUGGCGUUGUUUCCUGCCCAUCUCCUUUGCUUCUUGGCUUCAUAUGUUAACGUAUUUGGGAACUCCAUUUUUGCUGGCUACCCUGUGGUCAGGUUUUCCAAGCGGGCUGCCUCGUCAAUAGUGCGGUGUAGAUCUGGCCAAGGACCUUAUUCUCAGCUGGGAGCUGUUAAAUCUUCCUCUUGAAGGUAUUUUCACUCAAGUAGCUCUCUGCUGCCCUCCACUGGCACUCAGCCACAAGAGCUAGCUAGCCUUCUGCGUCGGUGCUAACUCAGUGCAUCCCAUCCCUGGCUUCAAAGGAGAUUAUCUCUAAAAGAUACAACUGGCCAAAUGGAAUACGUUUGUCCUUUCCUAUAGGGCAGAACUAUCAAUCACAAUGAAGCAAGUAUAAUCCCCUGGACUUCUCUUCUCUACCGGUCUGUUUGAAGUCAAUGUGGAUAAUCUCAAAAUAACAGUGCCUCUCUUACUCUUCCCUAAUUGUUCACUAUUACUUCAGAUGACUUCUGAAAUUCCUUGACAAUCAGUGUUAGGGAUGGCAUCGAGGUGGAUUGCUUCAACAGCUCAGUCUUCUCAUCAAGGAUCCAAGUUCUUUGAGCUUCUCCACUCUGCUGCCUACAACAUCAGCUUUACACACAGGUUGAUUUUCUUUAUGAUUGUGAGAAAGAGUGAAAGCAUGAGAAGAGGAGGGGCAGAGGUGGAGGGAGAGACAGAAUCUUAAGCAGACUCCAGGCCCAUUGUGGAGCCCCAUGGGGGCUUGAUCUCAGGACCAUGAAGUUGUGACCUGAGCCAAAAUCAAAAGUUGGAUGCUGAGCCACCCAGGUACACCCCCAUCUUUAUCAAAUUUUUUUUCCCAAAUGUUCUAUAGUAAAUAUCUAUAUAUGUACAACUUUAAUCAAUCAAAAGGUUGGGAAACUAAAAAUUAAGUCUUACCAUGACAUAAGCAUUUCUGAUGAUUACAACAUAACUUUAAUUUAUAAAUUGACCCAACUGGCAAAAUGGUAAAAUCUAGCCAGAGAUUUAGAACUUUCAGUAUUCUUUCUGUAGUUUCAGUGAGAAUAGGAAUAAAUCAAUGAAUGGGUGAAUCAGUAAAUGACCCAGAGAAAUCUCCUUUUGUGUGAUUAAUAAUUUCCAUAUUUACUACCUAUAAAUGCUAUUAAAAUUUCAUUUUUGAUGUGCUGCUAAAUCACUGGCCUCAAAACUCUGUUGGUCUAAUUUUAAAGGCUAAUAUAUAGGUUAUUUUGAGGGCAUUACUUGAAAUUAUAGUUGUCUCCUUGGAAAGAAAUAAUAUUCUUAGUGAGUUUUUCCAUAUAUUAUGUUAAGUAGUAUAACAUUUUGAAUAGAGAAAGAUUGACUUGUAAUUGCUAACUGGUGGCUCAUUGUUUUUAUUAUCUUUGUUCAUCUCACUAUAUCUCUUAUAGAUAUGUUUUUGUCUCAUCUGGAAUAGAAUUUACAAGGAUUCAUGCUAGAUGUUAUGUAGAGUUUAAAUAUAGUGAAUUUUGAAUGUCAGUUGUACAAAAUAUGAACCUCCUUUACAUUAUUAUUAAGGACAGGAUUCAAAUCUUUAUGUAGACUAUUACAGGAAUAUCAUACAAUUUUUAAGCAAAUAGUUGCAAUAUAAUAGGCAAUAUGUUUACUAUAAUGCUCUUCACCAAGUCAGAUAAAAAACAAAAGCUCUGUUUUUAUAUCAGAAUAUGAAAGGCCAUGAGAAAAGUGGUUGGAUUUAUUACUUACAAGUUAUCCACAUAGAACAUAUAUAUAGUAUCCUACCAAAACAAUUUCUUCUAAUUUAGUGGCUUGGCAUAGCUUAAAAUAGAAUUCACUAAAUAAUAUGUCUUCAAACUCAUCGAUCGUAGACAUUGUAGUAUGAAAAAUGUAAAGCUAACAGUAACUAAUGCUCUUCAAAAGUAUGGUAGCCUUUUCAAAUUGUUUGGAAUUAAUUUGUUUUGAGUAAACGGAAAUUAGUCUGUUAAAUGAAGCUUUUAAGACAGGGAUUACAAAGGGGUAAGAGACCAUCUCACCAGGAUAGCUUAAAACCCACACAUUUGUACGUGUCAGGAGAAGUACUGUCCUUUAAAAAUGAUCUUAUUCUUUCCAAUUGUCUGAGAUUGGUGCCUCCUGAUGUGAUCUGGAGAUCUGGCAAAGUAGAAACAUAUUUAGAUUCUUACUCAUUAGAAUACUGAACUCAUCCAUCAGCAGGAUUGACAAGGUCUUAGACAAAGCAUUUUGCCUGGCACACAACCUGUACUGAGAUUUUCCUGUGGCUAUAAUGUAGCACACCUGACAGAUGUUUGAGUCAUUUAACACAGCAGGCGGUACUCAUAAACACCACAGACUGGCAUUCAACAUGAUAGGGAUUAUUUUUCUUUUGUCUGCCUGAAGUUAUAUGGCCUAUAAUCAACAAAGGAUUUAGGCAUAACUAGCUAAAAUGUAGGGUGUGAUAUCAUUUAUAUGCGAUAUUUCUCAUGCUUAUAAAGCUUACAAAAUAUCCCGGAAGCUGAGAUACUUUUUGACACAGGUGAAAAACAUUUUACAUACGUUUCCCUUUUCAUGAUUAGAACUGGUUUAGGAAAGAAAGGCAUCAUGGGUAUUAUUCACAGAGUAAAGCUUCUGUAUCACUAUUGAUUUUCUUGAUACUUCCUUAAUGAUGUAAUGGGCUUUACUAAGCCCAUACUAAUUUUUAAAUUCAACAUGGUGGUGAUGAAGUAAACAGUAGCAAGGUCACUAGUUAAAAAUUCCCAUUAACAGUGUGUCUACAUCAGAACAAGAAAGGCAGAAAUAAAUAUAUACCAUCUGUAGUUGUAAAACUUUCAUGUCCUAAGGGAUAGAGAUAGAUGCUAUUAAUUUAAAUGUCAUGUUUGCAUUGAAUGAAGCACAGCGAUUUUAUUUUAUUUUAAUUUUUUUAGCACAGUGAUUUUAGAUUUGACUUUAUUAAAGUUCUUUUUUUAGGUUAAGUUUCUCACUUGGUAAGUGGCAAUUGGAGGACAUGCUAUUGAUAAAAAUUAUUUAGGUCCUUUGGGGAGCAGUAACAUGCAGGGGGGCAUGAUGCUUUCAAAAUAACAUUUUAUUGCAUUUACAAGUUAUUACAUAAUCAAAAUAAUCUUGUAUUCUACAACUGUAUAGGGACUUUAAAAAUAGGAAAAUUAAUAAUACCUUAAAGGAACAAAUAAAUACCACAAUUAAACCAUGGUAACACUCUGGCAUAUAUAAUACCUACUUUAGAAAUUGUUUUUGUAAGCAUGCAUUUGUUGGAAAAAGUUUCCGGUUUUGUUUUGCGUAGGUCAUGGCUUUUUUUCAGUUUGCUUUAGGGUUCAGUGAUUUGCUGGAUACAGCUGCAUGUGCAGAUGCAGAAACAGUUUCAUCCCAGGAAAUAACCAUAGUUUAGCAUUUAGGUGCCAAGGUAAGUCUGUAGAAGUUAAUGAAAACAUUCUUUAAGGCUAUGCCCAACCACGAGGACUCACUGGAAUUCUGAAAAACCCAUACGUGUCAGAAAGGUUGAGAUUAGUUUAUCUUUCCAAUGUUUUUUUUACUCCUGUCGCUAGCUACAGUAUACUAACUGCUUUCCUAAUACUCAUUCUUUAACUCCUACAUUUCCAGGCUGAUGACACAUACUGACAUUGGAUUUUUGGCCCAUUGGUAGUGAUAUUUUGAGCAAGGUUUUCUUAGCUAGCUUCAGGAUUAGGUAUUCUGUCCUGCUAGCUAUAUUGGGAAGGAGCUUCUUAAGUCUCAUGUGACCUAUAUAUACAUAUCUGCUUUUGUUUUUUCUUUCUAACAAACUCAUUCAGAAGGGGAAAAUCAGAGAUUUGAAAUGAUAUAAUUGGGACCUGCCCUGUGGGUACUGAAUCCAUAUUAAUCCCCUCAACUGGAAAGAUGUUUCUUCACACCUAAGCCCAGUUUCCAUUUCCUUUAGGGAAGCCUUCCUGACCUUUCUGACUAGCUUGAGUGCUUUAUAAGGUACUUGCCAAACAUCAUGUAACAGCAUUACUUUUUAAUGAGUAUCACCACUGUAGUUUCAUAUUUUUGAUAACUUGAUUAGUAUCUGUUUCUUCCACUAAACUCCAAGCUCUGUAACUAUAGGGAUUGUGUCUGUUUUUUUUUCUUACUUGUAUCCUUGGUGCCCAACAUGUCGUGGGGACUCAGGAGGUAGUUGUUGAACAAAUGCAUUUCAUAAAGCACUAAUUAUAUUAUUUAUAUAUUUCUAAUGUUAAAUUACUAUUUUGACACCUUCUCAAAACAUAAACGACUCUUAGGACAUUUCGCUUUGUGUACAUUGUGUGAUUUUGGCACACCAAUAUAUAACAUCCUUUUUCCCUCCGUGCUGUAGAACCAACAGAGAGAUGUAUCCAAAAGUCAGACAUGGGUUGGAAGACAUGGCUUAAAUGUGUGGCCAAAGUGGUGUGACUGAUUUCUCACCAUUACUUAUUUCAAGCUUACUCGCUAGCCAUUGUCAGAUCCCUACUUGGCAGCAAAGUGAAGUAAAAAAAGCACUUUUGAUCAGUGGACACUGGAGAAGUAGGAAAUACAUCAAUGGGGGAAAAUGCUGGGAUAGGGUAUAGAGAAGAUUCAAGAGCUCUUAAAGACAGGGAGUAAAUGGGGUGUAAUUAUAAUUUAUACUAAUAACUAAUACUUAAAUAUUAGUAAGUAAUAACUAACACGAAUAACUAAUACUUAAACUUAAUAUCAGUAUCUCUAAACUUAAAACUACUUUAAAUACUUAAAACUAUUGCAAGCACAAGCAUAUGACAAGAAAAGAAGAAAGAACGUUGCCUUUUGCGUGAGUUUUUCUCUCAGUCAUGACAUACAAAGACAAUUAGUAGGUAUUACCCCCAUUGUUGAAAUUCUUCAGAAAAAACAUAGGAUAUUACAUAUAAUAUCUUUAACAAUAAGCCCCACUCUAUGUGUCAUUUGUGCUUCAUUAACUAUUAACUGUUGACAGUAGUGUGUAUAUGUAAUUUAUAAUUGCAUACUUUUUCAUGGCGUACACAAUAAAAAGCUACUAAUACUUGCCAGUCAUUUAGGCUUCAAUUUGGACAUUAUAUUAUCUAGAGAAUAUGUGUAAAGUCCACUCCUGGGUUCCUUUUCCUUUGGUCUCUUGGAAGCUUGCACUGUCUAUUGAAAUAGUUUUGCAGGACCUGCUUGUAUUGUCUGUUUGCAGCUAUAUCUCUCUCAAGACUGUGGGGGCAGGAACAGGGUCUUACUCAUAUGAGAAUUCGCAUGGUAAAAUACUUUGGUACAUAGAAUGUACUUGAGGAGAUAGAUGGAUAAAUACUCAUCAAAAAGCUGCCAGAUACUGAGCAGGUAUAAUAGAAUUGGGUUACAGCAAACCUUGGCAUAGCUGCCCACUUUGAAACCCUACAACUAUGGUAGGUGCUGUCCUCCGGUCUCUCUGGUGUCCUAGCAUCCCUUUUUUGGGACUGCCUACCCAGUGGACCCAAUAUUGAGUACUCUUGUAGUCAUUCUGCCUGUGGCUCCAGGAAGAUAGCAAAAAUGAAGAAGCAUCUCCCUCACUCACUCUCAGUAAUGACUCUAUGUCCAGCUCUUGUUGUCUCGUUCUAUUGCAGUUCUUCCUGUUCUUAGGCCACAAAAUGGACAGCUAAUGGCUAAGGGAGGGAGAUCAGGCAUAGGAAGUGUUAGAGGGAGAAAGGGGUCUCAAAGCCUCUCUAACGAGGCACUCUUUGCCUCUUUGAACUACAACAGUCACGUACGGAGUAGCAAUAAUAGUCUUAAGCAGCUUCCUGUGCUGACAGCAAAGGAUCCCAUUAGGACUUGGCACUAGAGAGAAGGAUGCCGAAGGCAAAGUCACGGAGGAAGCUGCUCCAGGAAUGCAGGUCAGGCUAGAGGUGACCUGCAACAAGGUAGAGACCAUGAAAUUGUGGGGAAGUAGGUGAAUUUGAGAACUAGGGGAGAGAGAGAAAGUAAGGAUCUGAGUCCUGGAUGAACAGCCCAUGUUUCUAGACAGCUGCCUGUGUGCUCACAGCAUUCAUUAAGAGAAGGGAUCACUAAGGAAAGAGGAACAUUUUGGGGAUAAAAAAAGCCGAGUAUAGGGUAACAAUUAGUUACUUUAAUGGUUCCACUCUGAAUUCUAGUCUCAACACACAGUCAAGCAAUCAUUGUUACCCAGUAACCUUUUUGUAUUUUCUUGGUGAGGCAUAGACCACACUCUCCUUGGUGAUACUACCAAAUAGUUACUGCUUCUCCUCAAACCCAGCUCUGGAAACUCCUCCCUCCUGCUCCCUCCCCCCUCCCCAGGUAAGCUUCCUCUUCUUCUCAGGAAAAACAGAAGUAAUCUGGGAAGAGUCCUGUCCACCCACUUCUAAUCAUCCCCCAGGCCCUUAGGACCCCGAUUUCCUCUCUAGGCUCUCACCUUUAAUUUUGUCCUCAACAUUGAAACCAGAGUCACCUUUGAAAACUGCACAUCAAAUAUUGUCUCAUCUUUGCUUACUGCCUCCCAGUGGCCACCGAGUCAGACUUCACGUGUAGCUCUCUCUCUCUCUCUCACUUAUCUAGCAUUGUCUCUUGCCACAUGUCCCUGUACUUUUCACACUGACUCAAUACUUCAAAUGCACUACAUUUCUUAGUCUUCAGAUAUUUGCCUCUGCAUCCCAUCUGAUGUGUAUUGUGAUUUGCUUUUUAUUUGUAUCAUUAUUGCUUAAUUUUGAGUCUUAAAGUUUUUAUUUAAAUGCCAUUUUCUCCUGGAAACUUCCCUGACUGCCACCGUUCCCUCAAAUAUGAAUUAAAUUCUUCUCUUGUGCACCCUUCCCCCAACCCCAUAUCUGGUAUUUCCCUUAUGGUAUUACAUGUCAUAGAACUUCAUAUUUUCUAUUGAUCUUUCAGAAUCCUAAAUUACAAUGUAUCAAGGCAAGUCCUAUUUCUGUAGAGCUCAAUAGAGCUCCUAUUACAUACUAGAUGUUCUAUUAAUAGUUGGUAAUGAGUACUGAAUGAUUUAUAUGAUAUUAUUCUAUAAACUGGAGCAAUUUUGAAUGGGUAGGAUACCUAACCUAAAUUAAAUAAAGUGUUUGACUUGUAUCAUGUAAAUGUAAUUAUUCUUAGUGUAAGUGGCAAUUAUUAUUAGUAUUUUUUUUUUGGUAACAGCUUUAUUGAGGUUCAAUCCACUUACUAUAUAAUUCACACGUGUAAAAUUACACAAUUCAGUGGUUUGUAAGGUAUUCAGAUUUGUGCCUCAGUUACCAUGAUCAACUUUGGAACAUUUUCAAUAAAUGGCAAAUCUUGAUCAUUGAUGAUUUGGUACAUUAGAAUCUUGUUUUUGCCCAUCUGGAGUGUUUUGAUAAUUAUUUAAAAUAGUUUGUUAAUGUGGAUCUCAAACGGCAUCUUCAGAUUACAGUGUCAUCAUCUUUUCCUAACCUGUCAAACUAUACUGAGAUUUGAGAAAGCCUUAAUUUCUAAUAUUUUGGUUAAUGCAAAUUCAAAGUCAUCAAAUUAUAUUUACCUACGAAUAUUACAAUGUUCUAAAAGUAGACCCUUUUCUCUCUAGCUGUAAUGAGUCAUUUACCUUUUCUCAUCCAGGAAGCAUGGUUCUCAUUGUCAAGGUUACUGUCAUUUGCAUAUAACUGAGUAUCACUCCUAUUCUGCUUAGGUUACUUUCAAUUCUCUCUUUAAAUUUUUGUUGUUGUUGUUGUUUGGUUUUUAUUUUUUUAAACUUAGAGACAGAGAGAGUGCACUAGAGGGGUAGAGGGAGAGAGGGAGAAUACCAAGCUGGCUCCAUGCUUAGCUUGGAGCCCAACAUGGGACUCAAUCCCACGAUCCUGGGAUCAUGACCUGAGCUGAAAUCAAAAGUUGGAUGCUCAACCUAAUGAGCUGCCCACACAACCCUCUGCUGGUCCCUUUAAAAACCAUUGUACAUGGUCAGAUUAAAAACCAUUGUACAUGGUAAGAUUAACCUUCUUAACAUAUUCACUAUAUUUCUUUCAUUACUUACGGAACUGUAUU